CGUGGCACAGUUCCCCGACACCAAACAUAAAAUCAUCCUUUUCUUUUUCCCUUCGUCAUUCUUUUUGUGUCAUUGGGUGAGUGAGAGAGGGAGGGAGAGAAGAGAACUGUUACGGAGCUGGAAAUGUCGAUUCUCAUUUCCAGAUCUUCGAUUUUUCAUUCUCGCGGACUCUCAUUCUCAUUCUCUCAUGAUUCAUUUAACUUCGAUUCGAUUCUGAAUAAGAGGGGAUCGCUUUCAUGUGCUCCCUCGGAGUUGAGUCCCGUUCGGUCGGAGGUUUCGUUCUGUGUUGGAACUCACCUCAUUCCGCAUCCCAGCAAGAUUGACAAAGGUGGGGAAGAUGCUUUCUUUGUGAGCAGCUACAAUGGUGGAGUUCUUGCUAUUGCUGAUGGUGUUUCUGGGUGGUCCGAGCAGAAUGUUGACCCUGCAUUAUUCUCCAAAGAGCUGAUGGCUAAUGCUUUGAAUUUUGUUGGGGAUGAGGAGGUCAAUGAUGAUCCUCAGUUACUCUUAGGGAAAGCACAUGCUGCCACCUCCUCCAAGGGUUCUGCUACUGUAAUUGUGGCCAUGAUGGAGAAGAACGGAAUUCUGAAAAUUGCCAAUGUUGGGGAUUGUGGACUAUGGGUUCUUCGGAAAGGCAAAAAGAUUUUCUCAACAUCUCCACAAGAACAUUACUUUGACUGUCCUUACCAGUUAAGCUCUGAUGUGGUUGGACAAACAUACCUAGAUGCAAUGUGGAAGGGAGUGGUGUUUGAUCCAUUCGACUCCUUGCGGUGGGAAGCUCGGGAGGAUCUACUACAAGUGUUUUCUUCUUCUUUCUCCCUCAAGUAUCCAAGGUACUACAGAUCUGUCAAAGCUCUACAGGUUUGCACUUUGGAAUUGAUUGAGGGAGACACAAUAGUUAUGGGCUCAGAUGGGCUGUUUGAUAAUGUUUUCGACAAUGAAAUCAUUUCAACAAUCUUGAGAUUCAGUGAUGUAGUAGAAGCUGGCAUUGGCUUAUCUUGCGAGCAAUCAUUCGAGGGAUCCCAGUUUUGAUUCACCCUACUCAUUGGAGGCCAGAAACAGAGGGUAUGAUGUACCAUGGUGGAAGAAAAUUCUCGGAAGGAAGCUAACAGGUGGAAAACUGGAUGACAUAACGGUCAUUGUGGGUCAAGUUACAAGCUCAUGAAACGUUUGUUGUUCUUAACAAGUCGCAACAGAUAGCAAUCUGCUAAAAAUAUUUCAUAGAAUCCAUGAUAGGUGUGCAAGUGCUAAUUGUUCAUUGUUCACGAUACCAUUUGUUUUUAUAAGGUUAUCAUGCAGAAGGGGUUCUUAA
Molecule: RNA transcript, 1309 nt
Organism: Macadamia integrifolia
Lineage: Eukaryota; Viridiplantae; Streptophyta; Magnoliopsida; Proteales; Proteaceae
Gene name: probable protein phosphatase 2C 26
Exons: 12
Source: RefSeq, a predicted model, not a curated record